GAGUUUGAUCAUGGCUCAGAUUGAACGUUUGCGGCAGGUCUCAUACAUGCAAGUCGAACGGGGAUCUCUCCUUCGGGAGAGAAGCCCAGUGGCGGACGGGUGAGUAACGCGUAGGAAUCUGCCCAGUUGAUUGGCAUAACGCCCCUAACCGGGUGCUAAUUCCAAAUAAGACCUAAGGGUGAAAGAGGGGGAUCUUCGGACCUCUCGCGACUGGAGGAGCCUGCGUUGGAUUAGCUAGUUGGUGAGGUAACGGCUCACCAAGGCGACGAUCCAUAGCUGGUCUGAGAGGAUGAUCAGCCACACUGGAACUGAGACACGGUCCAGACUAUUACGAUAGGCAGCAGUAGAGAAUCUUGCGCAAUGAGCGAAAGCUAGACGCAGCCAUGCCGCGUGUGUGAUGAAGGCUCUAGGGUUGUAAAGCACUUUCAACAGCGAAGAUACGCAGCGCGCUAAUACCGCGCUGUUUAGACGUUAACUGUACAAGAAGCACCGGCUAACUCCGUGCCAGCAGCCGCGGUAACCCGGAGGGUGCGAACGUUAAUCGGAAUUACUGGGCGUAAAGCGCACGUAGGCGGUUUGUCAAGUGGGAUGUGAAAGCCCCGGGCUUAACCUGGGAAUUGCAUUUCAAACUAGCAGACUAGAGUGUAGUAGAGGGAGGUGGAAUUUACUGUGUAGCGGUGAAAUGCGUAGAUAUAGUAAGGAACACCAGUGGCGAAGGCGACCUCCUGGACUAACACUGACGCUGAGGAGCGAAAGCGUGGGGAGCAAACAGGAUUAGAUACCCUGGUAGUCCGCGCCGUAAACGAUGAGAACUAGCCGUUCGACCUUUCGGGGUUUAGUGGCGUAGCUAACGCGAUAAGUUCUCCGCCUGGGGAGUACGGCCGCAAGGUUAAAACUCAAAUGAACUGACGGGAGCCCGCACAAGCAGUGGAGCACAUUGUUUAAUUCGAUGCAACGCGAAGAACCUUACCACCUCUUGACAUUCUCGGGACCUCUCAGAGAUGAGAGGGUGCUCGUAAGAGAACCGAUGAACAGGUGUUGCAUGGCUGUCGUCAGCUCGUGUCGUGAGAUGUUGGGUUAAGYCCCGUAACGAGCGCAACCCCUGUCCCUAUUUGCUACAGGUUAGGCUGAGAACUCUAGGGAGACUGCCGGUGACAAACCGGAGGAAGGCGGGGAUGAGGUCAAGUCAUCAUGGCCCUUAUUGAGGUGGGCUACAAAGGUGCUACAAUGGGAGGUACAAAGAGUCGCGAGCCUGCGAGGGUGAGCUAAUCUCAAAAAACCUCUCGUAGUCCGGAUAGGAGUCUGCAACUCGACUCCUUGAAGUUGGAAUUGCUAGUAAUCGCGAAUCAGAACGUCGCGGUGAAUACGUUCCCGGGCUUUGUACACACCGCCCGUA
This 1396-nucleotide ribosomal RNA is filed under the name uncultured Gammaproteobacteria bacterium. Its description in RNAcentral is "bacterial SSU rRNA". It matches the Rfam family "Bacterial small subunit ribosomal RNA". Lineage: Bacteria; Pseudomonadati; Pseudomonadota; Gammaproteobacteria. The record is from RNAcentral.